GACGAACGCUGGCGGCAUGCCUAACACAUGCAAGUCGAACGAAACCUUCGGGUCUAUGGGCGCACGGGUGCGUAACGCGUGGGAACCUGCCCUUAGGUUCGGAAUACCUCCCCGAAAGGGGUGCUAAUACCGGAUAAUGUCUUCGGACCAAAGAUUUAUCGCCUUUGGAUGGGCCCGAGUUGGAUUAGCUAGUUGGUAGGGUAAAAGCCUACCAAGGCGACGAUCCAUAGCUGGUCUGAGAGGAUGAUCAGCCACACUGGGACUGAGACACGGCCCAGACUCCUACGGGAGGCAGCAGUGGGGAAUAUUGGACAAUGGGGGAAAGCCUGAUCCGGCAAUGCCGCGUGAGUGAUGAAGGCCUUAGGGUUGUAAAGCUCUUUUAACCGGGAUGAUAAUGACAGUACCGGGAGAAUAAGCCCCGGCUAACUACGUG
This 433-nucleotide ribosomal RNA is filed under the name uncultured bacterium. Its description in RNAcentral is "partial 16S ribosomal RNA". It matches the Rfam family "Bacterial small subunit ribosomal RNA", at positions 28 to 507 of the family's 1533-position model. The record is from RNAcentral.